AACGAACGCUGGCGGCAUGCCUAACACAUGCAAGUCGAACGAAUCCUUCGGGCUUAGUGGCGCACGGGUGCGUAAAGCGUGGGAAACUGCCUUCUGGUUCGGAAUAACAGUUGGAAACGACUGCUAAUACCGGAUGAUGUCGAAAGUCAAAAGAUUUAUCGCCAGAGGAUGAGCCCGCGGAGGCGUAGCUAGUUGGUGUGGUAAAGGCGCACUAAGGCGACGAUCCUUAGCUGGACUGAGAGGAUGAUAGGUCGAUCGGGGACUGAGACACGGCCCAGAGUCCUACGGGAGGCAGCAGUGGGGAAUAUUGGACAAUGGUCGAAAGCCUGAUCCAGCAAUGCCGCGUGAGUGAUGAAAGCCCUAGGGUUGUAAGGCUCUUUUACCCGAGAUGAAAAUGACAGUACCGGGAGAAUAAGCCCCGGCUAACUCCGUGCCAGCAGCCGCAGUAA
RNAcentral lists this ribosomal RNA (449 nucleotides) under uncultured bacterium. RNAcentral describes it as "partial 16S ribosomal RNA". It matches the Rfam family "Bacterial small subunit ribosomal RNA", at positions 29 to 523 of the family's 1533-position model. The record is from RNAcentral.